RNAcentral lists this ribosomal RNA (875 nucleotides) under uncultured crenarchaeote. RNAcentral describes it as "bacterial SSU rRNA". It matches the Rfam family "Archaeal small subunit ribosomal RNA", at positions 21 to 903 of the family's 1478-position model. Lineage: Archaea; Thermoproteati; Thermoproteota. The record is from RNAcentral.
CCCGACUGCUAUCAGAGUGAGACUAAGCCAUGCGAGUCAACGUAUGAAUAAUACGUGGCGAACGGCUCAGUAACACGUAGUCAACAUGCCCAGAGGACGUGGAUAACCUCGGGAAACUGAGGAUAAACCGCGAUAGGUCAUAAUUACUGGAAUGUUUUAUGGCUCAAAUCUACAUGGCCUCUGGAUUGGACUGCGGCCGAUCAGGCUGUUGGUGAGGUAAUGGCCCACCAAACCUGUUACCGGUACGGGCUCUGAGAGGAGGAGCCCGGAGAUGGGCACUGAGACAAGGGCCCAGGCCCUAUGGGGCGCAGCAGGCGCGAAACCUCUGCAAUAGGCGAAAGCCUGACAGGGUUACUCUGAGUGAUUCCCGCUAAGGGAAUCUUUUGGCAUCUCUAAAAACGAUGCAGAAUAAGGGGUGGGCAAGUCUGGUGUCAGCCGCCGCGGUAAUACCAGCACCCCGAGUGGUCGGGACGAUUAUUGGGCCUAAAGCAUCCGUAGCCGGUCUUGCAAGUCUUCCGUUAAAUCCAGCUGCUUAACAGAUGGGCUGCGGAAGAUACUACAAGACUAGGAGGCGGGAGAGGCAAGCGGUACUCAGUGGGUAGGGGUAAAAUCCUCUGAUCCAUUGAAGACCACCAGUGGCGAAGGCGGCUUGCCAGAACGCGCUCGACGGUGAGGGAUGAAAGCUGGGGGAGCAAACCGGAUUAGAUACCCGGGUAGUCCCAGCUGUAAACGAUGCAGACUCGGUGAUGGGCCGGCUUCAUGCCGGCUCAGUGCCGCAGGGAAGCCGUUAAGUCUGCCGCCUGGGGAGUACGGUCGCAAGACUGAAACUUAAAGGAAUUGGCGGGGGAGCACCACAAGGGGUGAAGCUGCGGUUC